GAAAUGCGAUAAGUAAUGUGAAUUGCAGAAUUCAGUGAAUCAUCGAAUCUUUGAACGCACAUUGCGCCCGCCAGUAUUCUGGCGGGCAUGCCUGUUCGAGCGUCAUUUCAACCAUCAAGCCCCGGGCUUGUGUUGGGGACCUGCGGCUGCCGCAGGCCCUGAAAAGCAGUGGCGGGCUCGCUGUCACACCGAGCGUAGUAGAUCUCAUCUCGCUCAGGGCGUGCUGCGGGUUCCGGCCGUAAAACAGCCUCAUAAGCACCCAAGGUUGACCUCGGAUCAGGUAGGAAGACCCGCUGAACUUAAGC
RNAcentral lists this unclassified non-coding RNA (305 nucleotides) under plant metagenome. RNAcentral's name for it is "partial contains 5.8S ribosomal RNA, internal transcribed spacer 2, and large subunit ribosomal RNA". The stretch from base 1 to 105 matches the Rfam family "5.8S ribosomal RNA", at positions 50 to 154 of the family's 154-position model. The record is from RNAcentral.